UACGUAGGGACCAAGCGUUGUCCGGAAUCAUUGGGCGUAAAGAGCGUGUAGGCGGCUUGUUAAGUCUUGCGUGAAAUCUCGGGGCUCAACCCCGAGCGGUCGUGAGAAACUGGCAGGCUAGAGUGCGGGAGAGGAGAGUGGAAUUCCUGGUGUAGCGGUGAAAUGCGCAGAUAUCAGGAGGAACACCGGUGGCGAAGGCGGUGGUCUGGGCCGGUACUGACGCUGAGGAGCGAAAGCGUGGGGAGCGAACAGG
This 253-nucleotide ribosomal RNA is filed under the name uncultured bacterium. Its description in RNAcentral is "partial 16S ribosomal RNA". It matches the Rfam family "Bacterial small subunit ribosomal RNA", at positions 524 to 776 of the family's 1533-position model. The record is from RNAcentral.